AACGAACGCUGGCGGCAGGCUUAACACAUGCAAGUCGAACGCAUCCUUCGGGGUGAGUGGCAGACGGGGGAGUAACGCGUGGGAACGUGCCCUUCAGUUCGGGAUAACCCAGGGAAACUUGGGCUAAUACUGGAUACGUGCGAGAGCAGAAAGAUUUAUCGCUGAAGGAUCGGCCCGCGUCUGAUUAGCCAGUUGGUGGGGUAAUGGCCCACCAAGGCGACGACCAGUAGCUGGUCUGAGAGGAUGAUCGGCCACAUUGGAACUGAGACACGGCCCAAACUCCUACGGGAGGCAGCAGUGGGGAAUAUUGGACAAUGGGCGCAAGCCUGAUCCAGCCAUGCCGCGUGAGUGAUGAAGGCCUUAGGGUUGUAAAGCUCUUUCGUCCUGGACGAUAAUGACGGUACCGGAAGAAGAAGCCCCGGCUAACUUCGUGCCAGCCGCCGCUGUAA
This 449-nucleotide ribosomal RNA is filed under the name uncultured bacterium. Its description in RNAcentral is "partial 16S ribosomal RNA". It matches the Rfam family "Bacterial small subunit ribosomal RNA", at positions 29 to 523 of the family's 1533-position model. The record is from RNAcentral.